This 627-nucleotide ribosomal RNA is filed under the name uncultured archaeon. RNAcentral describes it as "bacterial SSU rRNA". It matches the Rfam family "Archaeal small subunit ribosomal RNA", at positions 146 to 774 of the family's 1478-position model. The record is from RNAcentral.
AUAAUACCCGAUAGGUCUCGAUUGCUGGAAUGCAUCGAGAUUUAAAGCUCCGGCGCCUAAGGAUGGGUCUGCGGCCUAUCAGGUAGUAGUGGGUGUAGCGUACCUACUAGCCUACGACGGGUACGGGUUGUGAGAGCAAGAGCCCGGAGAUGGAUUCUGAGACACGAAUCCAGGCCCUACGGGGUGCAGCAGGCGCGAAAACUUUACAAUGCUGGCAACAGCGAUAAGGGAACCUCGAGUGCCAGGUUACGAAUCUGGCUGUCGAGAUGCCUAAAAAGCAUUUCAUAGCAAGGGCCGGGCAAGACCGGUGCCAGCCGCCGCGGUAACACCGGCGGCUCGAGUGGUAACCGUUAUUAUUGGGUCUAAAGGGUCUGUAGCCGGCCGGAUAAGUCUCUUGAGAAAUCUGGCAGCUUAACUGUCAGGCUUUCAGGAGAUACUGUCUGGCUCGAGGCCGGGAGAGGUGAGAGGUACUCCGGGGGUAGGAGUGAAAUCCUGUAAUCCCCGGGGGACCACCGAUGGCGAAGGCAUCUCACCAGAACGGCUCCGACAGUGAGGGACGAAAGCUGGGGGAGCGAACCGGAUUAGAUACCCGGGUAGUCCCAGCCGUAAACUAUGCGCGUUAGGUGU